CGAAUUGCUGCUGCCAUCCGCCAAAGCUUCAGCUCCCAAACCAUCCUCUCCUGUCAAGUUUUGACAGGUUGGAGUUUUCGGGUAGGACUGGAAGGUGUUAGUUUUUAGCAGGAAGAAAAAGAGAUCCGCAGCAUCGCGCAGGCACACUGUCUAGUUUCCCUACUAUUAAGCGUGGGUAGAUUUUACUGUUUACAGCGAUGUUCGUUUUAAUUGCCAAAAAUGUCACUGGGCGGGUGUAUUUGUUGGGCCUCGCGGGUAUUUUGUGUGACUGCAUGGAUAGAAGGGUUUAUUUGUGUGACAACUGUUUAGCUUCGGUAGAAAGACGAGGGGUGUCGUGUGCGAUUCUUUUGGUAACCGAAAGCUUUUGACAGUGGAGAGAGAGAGAGAGAGAGAGAGAGAGAGAGAGAGAGAGAGAGAGAGAGAGAACUGAGAGAGGUGGAGGGAGAUAACUGAGCGAAUUCGUUUGUUGUUGGCUUGAAGCUACUCCCUACCCAUCGAAGUUCCUUUAGUACGAAUUCGUCUCCAGCUCAAUAGGAAUCAAGCCCUUCAUUGUUCUGCUUGGGGAAGAAAGCAAUUGCAGAGAUCUCUCUUCCGGUCUCCAUUCUGUCGUGGAUAGAGAAGGAGCGAAAACAUGGCAGAUGAGGAGCUGAAUAGCCCAAUCGAUAUCGGACAAGUUGAUAGACGGAGGCGGUUGGUUCGGUCUUUCUGGAGAGGAAAUAGAUGACCAGAUCCGGCAGCUUCCAGUGCUCUUGAUCGCUUGGGGCUGCAACGGUUUUUACCGAAGAUGAAGGUUGUGGUGGUUGA
Long non-coding RNA from Argentina anserina (silverweed cinquefoil), 804 nucleotides. RefSeq lists it as uncharacterized. NCBI's taxonomy places the organism in Eukaryota, Viridiplantae, Streptophyta, Magnoliopsida, Rosales, Rosaceae. The transcript is spliced from 4 exons. The record is from RefSeq and is a predicted model, not a curated record.